GACGAACGCUGGCGGCGUGCUUAACACAUGCAAGUCGAACGGAAAGGCCCUGCUUUUGUGGGGUGCUCGAGUGGCGAACGGGUGAGUAACACGUGAGUAACCUGCCCUUGACUUUGGGUUACUUCAGGAAACCGGGGGCAAUAACGGAAAAGAACUCCUGCCGCCAGGGGGGGGUUGGAAAGGUUCGGCGGUUGGGGAUGGACUCGCGGCUUAUCAGCUUGUUGGUGGGGUAGUGGCUUACCAAGGCUUUGACGGGUAGCCGGCCUGAGAGGGUGACCGGCCACAUUGGGACUGAGAUACGGCCCAGACUCCUACGGGAGGCAGCAGUGGGGAAUAUUGCACAAUGGGCGGAAGCCUGAUGCAGCAACGCCGCGUGCGGGAUGACGGCCUUCGGGUUGUAAACCGCUUUCGCCUGUGACGAAGCGUGAGUGACGGUAAUGGGUAAAGAAGCACCGGCUAACUACGUG
RNAcentral lists this ribosomal RNA (467 nucleotides) under uncultured bacterium. RNAcentral describes it as "partial 16S ribosomal RNA". It matches the Rfam family "Bacterial small subunit ribosomal RNA", at positions 28 to 507 of the family's 1533-position model. The record is from RNAcentral.